This 372-nucleotide ribosomal RNA is filed under the name uncultured bacterium. Its description in RNAcentral is "bacterial SSU rRNA". It matches the Rfam family "Bacterial small subunit ribosomal RNA", at positions 523 to 898 of the family's 1533-position model. The record is from RNAcentral.
AUACGUAGGGGGCGAGCGUUGUCCGGAAUGACUGGGCGUAAAGGGUACGUAGGCGGCCAGGCAAGUCAGAUGUGAAAGGCAUAGGCUCAACCUGUGUAAGCAUUUGAAACUGUCUGGCUUGAGUUAAGGAGAGGAAAGUGGAAUUCCUGGUGUAGCGGUGAAAUGCGUAGAUAUCAGGAGGAAUACCAGUGGCGAAGGCGACUUUCUGGACUUAUACUGACGCUGAGGUACGAAAGCGUGGGGAGCAAACAGGAUUAGAUACCCUGGUAGUCCACGCCGUAAACGAUGAGUGCUAGGUGUCGGGUGUAAAAGCUCGGUGCCGGAGUUAACACAAUAAGCACUCCGCCUGGGGAGUACGUUCGCAAGAAUGAA